Molecule: ribosomal RNA, 1470 nt
Filed under: metagenome
Description: bacterial SSU rRNA
Rfam family: Bacterial small subunit ribosomal RNA
Source: RNAcentral
AGAGUUUGAUCAUGGCUCAGGACGAACGCUGGCGGCACGCUUAACACAUGCAAGUCGAACGAGAGAAGAGGAGCUUGCUUUUCUGAUCUAGUGGCGGACGGGUGAGUAACACGUGAGCAAUCUGCCUUUCAGAGGGGGAUACCGAUUGGAAACGAUCGUUAAUACCGCAUAACAUAAUUGAACCGCAUGAUUUGAUUAUCAAAGAUUUAUCGCUGAAAGAUGAGCUCGCGUCUGAUUAGCUAGUUGGUAAGGUAACGGCUUACCAAGGCGACGAUCAGUAGCCGGACUGAGAGGUUGAUCGGCCACAUUGGGACUGAGACACGGCCCAGACUCCUACGGGAGGCAGCAGUGGGGAAUAUUGCACAAUGGAGGAAACUCUGAUGCAGCGAUGCCGCGUGAGGGAAGAAGGUUUUAGGAUUGUAAACCUCUGUCUUCAGGGACGAAAAAAGACGGUACCUGAGGAGGAAGCUCCGGCUAACUACGUGCCAGCAGCCGCGGUAAUACGUAGGGAGCGAGCGUUGUCCGGAAUUACUGGGUGUAAAGGGAGCGUAGGCGGGAUCGCAAGUCAGAUGUGAAAACUAUGGGCUUAACCCAUAAACUGCAUUUGAAACUGUGGUUCUUGAGUGAAGUAGAGGUAAGCGGAAUUCCUAGUGUAGCGGUGAAAUGCGUAGAUAUUAGGAGGAACAUCAGUGGCGAAGGCGGCUUACUGGGCUUUAACUGACGCUGAGGCUCGAAAGCGUGGGGAGCAAACAGGAUUAGAUACCCUGGUAGUCCACGCCGUAAACGAUGAUUACUAGGUGUGGGGGGACUGACCCCUUCCGUGCCGCAGCAAACGCAAUAAGUAAUCCACCUGGGGAGUACGACCGCAAGGUUGAAACUCAAAGGAAUUGACGGGGGCCCGCACAGGCAGUGGAGUAUGUGGAUUAAUUCGAAGCAACGCGAAGAACCUUACCAGGUCUUGACAUCGUAUGCAUAGCUCAGAGAUGAGUGAAAUCUCUUCGGAGACAUAUAGACAGGUGGUGCAUGGUUGUCGUCAGCUCGUGUCGUGAGAUGUUGGGUUAAGUCCCGCAACGAGCGCAACCCUUACUGUUAGUUGCUACGCAAGAGCACUCUAGCAGGACUGCCGUUGACAAAACGGAGGAAGGUGGGGAUGACGUCAAAUCAUCAUGCCCCUUAUGACCUGGGCCUCACACGUACUACAAUGGCUGUCAACAGAGGGAAGCAAAGCCGCGAGGUGGAGCGAACCCCUAAAAGCAGUCUUAGUUCGGAUUGUAGGCUGCAACCCGCCUACAUGAAGUCAGAAUUGCUAGUAAUCGCAGAUCAGCAUGCUGCGGUGAAUACGUUCCCGGGCCUUGUACACACCGCCCGUCACGCCAUGGGAGUCGGUAACACCCGAAGCCUGUAGUCUAACCGCAAGGAGGACGCAGUCGAAGGUGGGAUUGAUGACUGGGGUGAAGUCGUAACAAGGUA